AGAGUUUGAUCCUGGCUCAGAACGAACGCUGGCGGCAUGCCUAACACAUGCAAGUCGAACGAAGGCUUCGGCCUUAGUGGCGCACGGGUGCGUAACGCGUGGGAAUCUGCCCAAAGCUACGGAAUAACUCGGGGAAACUCGUGCUAAUACCGUAUGAUGUCGCAAGACCAAAGAUUUAUCGGCUUUGGAUGAGCCCGCGUAGGAUUAGCUUGUUGGUGGGGUAAAGGCCUACCAAGGCGACGAUCCUUAGCUGGUCUGAGAGGAUGAUCAGCCACACUGGGACUGAGACACGGCCCAGACUCCUACGGGAGGCAGCAGUGGGGAAUAUUGGACAAUGGGCGAAAGCCUGAUCCAGCAAUGCCGCGUGAGUGAUGAAGGCCUUAGGGUUGUAAAGCUCUUUUACCCGGGAAGAUAAUGACUGUACCGGGAGAAUAAGCCCCGGCUAACUCCGUGCCAGCAGCCGCGGUAAU
RNAcentral lists this ribosomal RNA (470 nucleotides) under uncultured bacterium. Its description in RNAcentral is "bacterial SSU rRNA". It matches the Rfam family "Bacterial small subunit ribosomal RNA", at positions 8 to 524 of the family's 1533-position model. The record is from RNAcentral.